This 1336-nucleotide ribosomal RNA is filed under the name Staphylococcus aureus. RNAcentral's name for it is "partial 23S ribosomal RNA". It matches the Rfam family "Bacterial large subunit ribosomal RNA", at positions 1585 to 2925 of the family's 2925-position model. Lineage: Bacteria; Bacillati; Bacillota; Bacilli; Caryophanales; Staphylococcaceae. The record is from RNAcentral.
UUCGAGUCGUUGAUUUCACACUGCCGAGAAAAGCCUCUAGAUAGAAAAUAGGUGCCCGUACCGCAAACCGACACAGGUAGUCAAGAUGAGAAUUCUAAGGUGAGCGAGCGAACUCUCGUUAAGGAACUCGGCAAAAUGACCCCGUAACUUCGGGAGAAGGGGUGCUCUUUAGGGUUAACGCCCAGAAGAGCCGCAGUGAAUAGGCCCAAGCGACUGUUUAUCAAAAACACAGGUCUCUGCUAAACCGUAAGGUGAUGUAUAGGGGCUGACGCCUGCCCGGUGCUGGAAGGUUAAGAGGAGUGGUUAGCUUCUGCGAAGCUACGAAUCGAAGCCCCAGUAAACGGCGGCCGUAACUAUAACGGUCCUAAGGUAGCGAAAUUCCUUGUCGGGUAAGUUCCGACCCGCACGAAAGGCGUAACGAUUUGGGCACUGUCUCAACGAGAGACUCGGUGAAAUCAUAGUACCUGUGAAGAUGCAGGUUACCCGCGACAGGACGGAAAGACCCCGUGGAGCUUUACUGUAGCCUGAUAUUGAAAUUCGGCACAGCUUGUACAGGAUAGGUAGGAGCCUUUGAAACGUGAGCGCUAGCUUACGUGGAGGCGCUGGUGGGAUACUACCCUAGCUGUGUUGGCUUUCUAACCCGCACCACUUAUCGUGGUGGGAGACAGUGUCAGGCGGGCAGUUUGACUGGGGCGGUCGCCUCCUAAAAGGUAACGGAGGCGCUCAAAGGUUCCCUCAGAAUGGUUGGAAAUCAUUCAUAGAGUGUAAAGGCAUAAGGGAGCUUGACUGCGAGACCUACAAGUCGAGCAGGGUCGAAAGACGGACUUAGUGAUCCGGUGGUUCCGCAUGGAAGGGCCAUCGCUCAACGGAUAAAAGCUACCCCGGGGAUAACAGGCUUAUCUCCCCCAAGAGUUCACAUCGACGGGGAGGUUUGGCACCUCGAUGUCGGCUCAUCGCAUCCUGGGGCUGUAGUCGGUCCCAAGGGUUGGGCUGUUCGCCCAUUAAAGCGGUACGCGAGCUGGGUUCAGAACGUCGUGAGACAGUUCGGUCCCUAUCCGUCGUGGGCGUAGGAAAUUUGAGAGGAGCUGUCCUUAGUACGAGAGGACCGGGAUGGACAUACCUCUGGUGUACCAGUUGUCGUGCCAACGGCAUAGCUGGGUAGCUAUGUGUGGACGGGAUAAGUGCUGAAAGCAUCUAAGCAUGAAGCCCCCCUCAAGAUGAGAUUUCCCAACUUCGGUUAUAAGAUCCCUCAAAGAUGACGAGGUUAAUAGGUUCGAGGUGGAAGCAUGGUGACAUGUGGAGCUGACGAAUACUAAUCGAUCGAAGACUUAAUCAA